UACCUGCACCUCAUGUUAUAUAUUAAUGGAGUUUCUUUGAAGCUUUUGCACAAGGAUUUGUUCAAACGAAAUCCAUUUACUUGUUCCUCUCUUUACCUAAGGAGAAUCAAAAUUGAUAUGCAAAGACAGUUUCUCGGUUGAUUUCUUUCUGUUUUGACUGACUGGUGCCUUUUGAAUUGCAGUAAGUAAUUGUUUUUGAAACCAUGAAGCCUAAUGAAGGAAAAUAUCAUGCACAGCCCGAUAAAUCUUUCAGAUUGUCUCUGCAACGUUACUGAUUCUUGUGCUUUGUGGAUUUUCUUUCUAUCUUGGUGGAAUCUUCUGUUCCGAGAAAAUUCGGUUGGAGGGCAAUAUAGUGCAGAAUGUUUCCAAGACUGUUUCUUCUCGAAACGAGCCUGCUGUAAACCCCCUUCGAAUCGAAUCGGCUGCUUUCCCGGAAUGCAGCAUUGAUUAUCAGGAUUACACUCCAUGCACUGAUCCCAGGAGGUGGAGGAAGUACAGUUCGCAUCGGCUUACGUUCUUGGAAUGUCACUGCCCUCCGAUGUUAGAGAGGAAGCAAUGCUUGGUUCCACCUCCUGAUGGCUAUAAGCCACCAAUCAGAUGGCCGAAGAGUCACGAUUAAUGUUGGUACAGGAAUGUGCCGUGUAAUUGGAUCAAUAAGCAGAAGUCUAAUCAGAACUGGUUGAGGAAACAAGGGGAGAAAUUCAUGUUCCCUGGUGGUGGCACUAUGUUCCCUAGAGGAGU
This is a long non-coding RNA of Hibiscus syriacus, 741 nucleotides long. RefSeq lists it as uncharacterized. The transcript is spliced from 3 exons. The record is from RefSeq and is a predicted model, not a curated record. NCBI's taxonomy places the organism in Eukaryota, Viridiplantae, Streptophyta, Magnoliopsida, Malvales, Malvaceae.